Molecule: long non-coding RNA, 522 nt
Organism: Scomber japonicus (chub mackerel)
Lineage: Eukaryota; Metazoa; Chordata; Actinopteri; Scombriformes; Scombridae
Exons: 5
Source: RefSeq, a predicted model, not a curated record
CUUACAAGCAAGAUGGGACUGAGACUGUAGAUGGUAACAAGGACAUUGGAUAUACACCUGUUAUAAUCAGUGUGCUCACUGUUCUUUUUGUUGUAUCCAUAGUGGUGGGCUUUACACAUAAGUAUUUCCUGAGGAGAAAGGGCUCAUAUGACACCAGAGAAGACCUGAAGCCAGCAUUAUUACCCUUCCAAACUCUUUAGCUUGCCUGCCUCAAUAAGCUCUGGAACCGUAUCUAUCAUUUAAAGAACAUCUGUGACCCAGGAAGGAUGUGCCAACACACUGUAGCAGUUCCUCUCUGGAUGAAUGGAAACUCACCUGAAUAUUAUUGCACUUCAAAUGGCAGAUAAAAACAAAUUUGUUAAAGUUAAUAAUUUAAAUGAUCAGUGGUCAUAAUGAACAUCCACUGUUAAAAAGCACUUUUUGUUCAUACUUUUCCUACCUUCACACUUUAUUUUUAACAAAUAUUUGUAAUUAAAUAUUUCUAUUUUGUACAUUAUUUAUGUUAAAAAAAUAAACUGUUGA